Molecule: ribosomal RNA, 550 nt
Filed under: uncultured Chloroflexota bacterium
Lineage: Bacteria; Bacillati; Chloroflexota
Description: bacterial SSU rRNA
Rfam family: Bacterial small subunit ribosomal RNA
Source: RNAcentral
GGCGGACGGGUGAGUAACACGUAGGUGACCUGCCCCGAAGCAGGGGAUAACGGCUCGAAAGGGCCGCUAAUACCCAAAAGGGUCGCGUGUCAAAGCGCGAUCAGAGUCAUGGCGUUUCGGGAGGGGCCUGCGGCCCAUCAGCUAGUUGGUAGGGUAAUGGCCUACCAAGGCGACGACGGGUAGGGGGCCUGAGAGGGUGACCCCCCACAUUGGCACUGACACACGGGCCAAACUCCUACGGGAGGCAGCAGUGAGGAAUAUUGCGCAAUGAGCGAAAGCUAGACGCAGCAACGCCGCGUGGACGAUGAAGGCCUUCGGGUCGUAAAGUCCUUUUCAGGGGGACGAGAGAGGACGGUACCCCUGGAAUAAGUCACGGCUAACUACGUGCCAGCAGCCGCGGUAAAACGUAGGUGGCAAGCGUUAUCCGGAUUCACUGGGCGUAAAGCGCCUGCAGGCGGUCUCGUAAGUGGGACGUGAAAUCUCUUGGCUUAACUGAGAGGAGCCGUUCCAUACUGCGGGACUAGAGGGCAGAAGAGGGAAGCGGAAUUCC